UGAGCAAUCUGCCCUUCUCUUCGGAAUAAGCGUUGGAAACGACGUCUAAUGCCGAAUACGACCUCCUUUCACAUGAUCGGAGGUGGAAAGCUCCGGCGGAGAAGGAUGAGCUCGCGGCCUAUCAGCUAGUUGGUGUGGGUAAUGGCCCACCAAGGCGACGACGGGUAGCCGGCCUGAGAGGGUGACCCGGCCACACUGGGACUGAGACACGGCCCAGACUCCCGUACGGGGAGG
RNAcentral lists this ribosomal RNA (234 nucleotides) under uncultured bacterium. RNAcentral describes it as "partial 16S ribosomal RNA". It matches the Rfam family "Bacterial small subunit ribosomal RNA", at positions 118 to 348 of the family's 1533-position model. The record is from RNAcentral.